CCCUUAGAUGUUCUGGGCCGCACGCGCGCUACAAUGAUGAAUUCAACGAGGUUAUAACCUUGGUUGAAAAGCCUGGGUAAUCUUUUGAACUUUCGUCGUGAUGGGGCUAGACCCUUGCAAUUAUUGGUCUCCAACGAGGAAUUCCUAGUAAACGCAAGUCAUCAGCUUGCAUUGAUUACGUCCCUGCCCUUUGUACACACCGCCCGUCGCACCUACCGAUUGAAUGGUCCGGUGAAAUCUUCGGAUUGAGACUUUGAUUUCUUCACGGAAAACGCUGUUUUAAAAAGUUGAUUAAACCUUACCAUUUAGAGGAAGGUGAAGUCGUAACA
This 329-nucleotide ribosomal RNA is filed under the name uncultured eukaryote. RNAcentral describes it as "partial 18S ribosomal RNA". It matches the Rfam family "Eukaryotic small subunit ribosomal RNA", at positions 1470 to 1796 of the family's 1831-position model. The record is from RNAcentral.